GACGAACGCUGGCGGCGUGCUUAACACAUGCAAGUCGAACGGAAAGGCCCUGCUUUUGUGGGGUGCUCGAGUGGCGAACGGGUGAGUAACACGUGAGUAACCUGCCCUUGACUUUGGGAUAACUUCAGGAAACUGGGGCUAAUACCGGAGAGGAGCUCCUGCUGCAUGGUGGGGGUUGGAAAGUUUCGGCGGUUGGGGAUGGACUCGCGGCUUAUCAGCUUGUUGGUGGGGUAGUGGCUUACCAAGGCUUUGACGGGUAGCCGGCCUGAGAGGGUGACCGGCCACAUUGGGACUGAGAUACGGCCCAGUCUCCUACGGGAGGCAGCAGUGGGGAAUAUUGCACAAUGGGCGGAAGCCUGAUGCAGCAACGCCGCGUGCGGGAUGACGGCCUUCGGGUUGUAAACCGCUUUCGCCUGUGACGAAGCGUGAGUGACGGUAAUGGGUAAAGAAGCACCGGCUAACUACGUG
RNAcentral lists this ribosomal RNA (468 nucleotides) under uncultured bacterium. Its description in RNAcentral is "partial 16S ribosomal RNA". It matches the Rfam family "Bacterial small subunit ribosomal RNA", at positions 28 to 507 of the family's 1533-position model. The record is from RNAcentral.